GAUGAACGCUGGCGGCGUGCCUAAUACAUGCAAGUCGAGCGAUCGGACGAGAAGCUUGCUUCUCUUAUGUUAGUUGCGGACGGGUGAGUAACACGUGGAUAACCUACCUAUAAGACUGGGAUAACUUCUGGAAACCGUAGCUAAUACCGGAUAAUAUUUUGAACCGCAUGUUUCUUAAGUGAAAGACGGUCUUGCUGUCACUCAUAGUUGGAUCCGCGCUGCAUUAGCUAGUUGUUAAGUUAACGGCUUACCAAGGCAACGAUGAAUAGCCGACCUGAGAGGGGGAUAGGCAAAACGGGAACGGGAACACGGUCCAGACUCCUACGGGAGGAAGAAGAAGGGAAUCUUGCGAAAUGGGGGAAAGCCGGACGGAGAAAGGCGGCGGAAGGAAUAAAGGUUUAGGGAUGGAAAGACUCGGUGAAAAGGGAAGAACAGAUGUGGAAGUAACAGUGCACAUCGUGACGGUACCUAAUCAGAAAGCCACGGCUAACUACGUG
Molecule: ribosomal RNA, 497 nt
Filed under: uncultured bacterium
Lineage: Bacteria
Description: partial 16S ribosomal RNA
Rfam family: Bacterial small subunit ribosomal RNA
Source: RNAcentral